RNAcentral lists this long non-coding RNA (1098 nucleotides) under Equus caballus (horse). Its description in RNAcentral is "lncRNA (ENSECAG00000046350.1)". The record is from RNAcentral. Lineage: Eukaryota; Metazoa; Chordata; Mammalia; Perissodactyla; Equidae.
CCCAGUGAUAAUGACAGUGAUAAUGACAUGAAGCAUAUUAUGAUCCUUUUAACAGCCCGCUUUGGCAGGCCUCCCCAGUUUGGGGAACCAAUUCCUCCAAAUGGAACAAGAGGGUGAGUGAGUUUCCUGUUGAUGUGCAGUCACUCCACAAUUCAGUGGCUGAAACAACAGCUAUUUUAUUGCUCACUACUCUGAGGGUCAAUGAUUUCAGCAAGGACAGUAGGGGAAGGGUGAUGGCUCAUCUCUGCUCCACAUGGUGCCAGCUGGGCAUCUCCACUGGUGAUGGAGGAGCCAAGAUGCCCCCACUCACCCAGCUGGGGCUUUGAUAAUGGCUGUCAACUGGAGCAACUGGGUUCUCCUCUGUAUGAUUUCUCUCCUUCAGGGCUUCUUUCUCCCCACGGCCUCCCACUCUGCCAGGAUACUGGUCUUCUUCACAUGGCAAGAGGACAAAAAAGGAAUCUGCCGUGCCUUCAGGCCUGGACUCAGAAGUCCCACAGCCUCCCUUCUGCCACAUUCUUUUGGGCCCAGUGCAAGCCGCGGAGCUGAAACAGCAUCUCUAAUCUUAUUUCCUAUGAACCUCUCACUAACUUCUCCUUUUACGAUCUUUUCACGGCUGUUACAUUGAAUCAGUAUCAUUAUGUGUUUAAAAAAAUAUUAUGCUCUGUGUCUCAGAGCUAACUCUCCAGAACCGAUUAUUCUAGCCCCUUUUCUUAGGAGAUGACAGGCUGUUAGAAAUCUGGAAAGGGUGGGGGUUUGUUUGUUUGUUUCUGGGGUCCUCUUGGCAGGAGCUGAGAAAUGAGGUGAAAGCCGCGGUUCUCAGACUUUUGCUGUAGGUUUACGGUAUGACCAUGAGCAUUCCCAAUGGCAGAUUGCAAAAAUGGCCCUGGAUUCCUCCCUUCCCUGAACGCACACUUCUUUGCAGUGUGACUUGGUCACUCUUCUCCUCUAGAGGUGGAGCCUGUACUUCACACCUUGAAUCUAGCCUUAGACAAUAUGUUUUGUCCCGUGGGAUGUUAGCAGAGGUUUGAAGGACAUUUCUGCUUUGGGGUUUCCUCUCUCUUGCUGCACCUGGAAACUUAAGACCCUUAUGUCACCCAG